UUCUUUCUUUCUUUCAGAUAAGCUCUCAUUCUCUCACUGAGGUUGGAGUGUAGUGGCACAAUCUCAGCUCACUGUGGCCUCAACCUCCCAGGAUCAUGUGAUCCUCCCACCUUAGCCUCCUGAGUAGCUGGGAUUGCAGGUGUGCACUACCACGCCCAGCUAAUUUGUGUAUUUUUUGUAGAGAUGGGGGUCUCACUAUGUUGUUGAGGCUGGUCUUGAACUCCUGGGCUCAAGCAAUCUGCCUGUCUCAGCUCCCUAAAGUACCGAGAUUACAGGCAUUAACCACCGCACUCAGAAACUUCUAUUUUUAAAAGCCAUGGUUUCUUUAGGUGUUCUCUAUCACUCUAAGUCAAAACUAUUUCUUAAACAUACAGGGCUUGAAGUGUUGAUCUCCUGGAGAGCCUGGUCACCUCCAAGCCAUAGGGCUUACAGUAGGCUGUCUUCAAACAAGCAAGGAAGUGAUAGGCUUUCUACCCCAACUCAGAUCUAGGUUUCAGGACUCAUUCUAGGCACAGCUGCAACUGCCAAGUAGACUAUGAGGAAACUUUCUCAGUGUUCUAGAAAAAAUAAAUGGAGGAGAAGGUGGAGAGGGGGAAGGAGAAAUAGAGUUAAAACAAAACAAAGAGAGAGACAGAGAAAAUUAAUGAUUAUAUCAGGCCUCUCCCAACUCCCUCCUCUUUCCCUGGAGCACAGGACUAAAUGUUAAGAGAGAAGCAUGAGAUUUCUACCGUAACUGAGGAAAACUACAAAACAUGAGAGUCUGAAGAGACAAUAAGGAAGAUAGAGGCCAAUCCUAUAGUUUUUCAGAUGAAGAAAGUAAGGCCCAGGGAGAAGAAAUUACUGUAUUCAGAUCACACAGUUAUAAGGAUUCGAGCCAAUACUGGAUCCUAACCCAGUGUUUACUAUUCUGUGCAGUGUUCCAUUAUUCGUGGAUUGCUAACAAUGAAAGAAAGCGUAGAAAUGAUAUAGUUCAACCUCCUUAUUUUAAAAUAAGAAAAGAUAUAUUGAGAGAGGUCAAAUAAUUUGCUCAAAGUCACAGUUGGCUUUUUGCUACCAAUCCAAGCUUCUUUUCCCUAGUCUUUGCAUAUACACACAACAAUGUGGUGAAUAAUUUCAAAAUUAUUUCAAAAAUUAAUCCAGAGUAAAUGUACUUAUUCAGGAAAGUAGUGGAAAUAGGAAAUAUGGCAAACAUAAAAACACCUCACCCCUAUGACUCAAUUUAUACUGGUCCAUGAACAGUUAACAGUUUUCAACACUUAACACUUCUCUUCCCGUGCUAGCUGGCAGCCAGAGUUAUUCUGCAAAACUAUGUUUCCAAGUCCUCAAGAGGAAUACAUGUGUAAGUGUGCUUUAAAUUUGCAAAUGUUUUAUCUUUGAGCUCCUUAAACAGUAACACUAUUAAUCUUCAUCUUCAAGCUGCUAAGUUUGUUAUGAUAUGUUUAUACAUGUGUGUGUGUGUGUGUCUACGCAGAACUUUUUUCGGCUGGUCAUGUGACUCCUAGAACUGUAUCCUUCCAGCCACUAUGCAUUUCCCUAUGUAAAUAAUAUUAGCUUUCACUGGUGAUGGCAACAAGACGGAAGGAAUGAGGUCAAGGAGGAAAUAAAUUUGGAUAGAAAGAAGCCGUCAAAACCCUGUGAAUAAAAUUCACAAGCGAGUUUCAGUGACUCAUAAGAGCACAGAGAGGAGACACAGGGAUUAUUCAGGAGCAGGCUCCUGUAGGGGAGCAGGAGCUGCACAGCAGGAGUGUGGAGGGGCACAGGUCAGCACCAGGAUGCACCAAGGGCACCUGGGAAGUGCUGAGGGCCAGGCCACACUUAACUCGGGUCUGUGCCCUGCAGUGGGAAGAAGCCUCAGAGUAUUUUCAUCCUGCGAAUCUCCUCUGUGCAAGAAAAGACCAGUUGAUGUCCUUGAAAACUUUCCUAUUUGACCAGUUCAUUCUUAUUUCAAGAUUAUAUAUUAUUAUAUUUUUUAGAGACAGGGUCUCGCUAUGUUGCCCAGGCUAGACUCGAACUCCUGAGCUCAGUGAGACUCCCACCUCAGCCUCCUGAGUUGCUACCAUACCCAGCUUGCCCAGUUCAUUUUUAAUGAGGCCAAACACAUUGGUCAUGCAGCUCACAAACAAAAGGGAAUGUCUGUAGUUCUGGUCAGUCACAAACUCAUUGUACUUUACAGAGAAAACUCCAUGCAGAAUGUUGAAAUAUCAUCCUCUAAAGGUUGACUCUAAGUACACAGAAGCAGUGUAGGGGCACAGACAGCUCAGUUGAGCACUUAGCACAUCAAACAAGAAAGCAUGUGGUGGUUUCCCUCUACCCAGAGCAGGGUCUGAUACAGAGGAGCAAGCCUGGACUUUGUCCUUGGGCAAAGUGCCCCAUUAGGGGAGGAAGGAGCCCACUCUCCAGACUUUCUGGUUCAAAGCAGUACCUGGGUCUGAGCAGAGUGAGGAACACUUCCUGCUACAGCCAAACUAGACUAGCCUGGGCCCUGAGAUCCAUGACCUCACAUGUGCCUUUUUCUCCAGGCACACUGGAAAGCUUAGUCCCCCCGCCCCCGUGACUGUCUGUUCCCGAGAUAGUCCCUUUGCAUGGAGAAUCCUUGCCCAUCCCACCCACCCCCACACCAUAAAAAGUCAAUGUUAGAAGGUUUGAAUGGAUUUAGUGAUCAUGCACUCCAACCCUGCCUAUCUGUUCAUCGAAGUCCACUUCAAAUACCACUUUAUUAAGACAUUGUGGUUCUUCUGUCUCCCAAUUCAUUGGUACUUUGGCGCUCUGUUAUGGUAUACAUCACAUUCAGUCUUGUAUUAGAGUUGUUUGUGUACAUAUUUUCUGUCCUCACUCCAGGGCCAGGUUAAAACUUAUAAAUCUUAAAAUAUUUUGGCCUCCUAAAAAUUAAACAGUAUCAUUCAUAGUUUCCACUAUUAAAUAUUUUAUGCUUUUGGAAUAAAAUAUGUCAUUCUUCACCCCCUCUCCCAAAAACCCCAAAACUUUGUUCCUCUGCUUUUCUAGUUUCCCGUGUGCUGCUUAGUGGGUUUUCCAGCAGCCCUGGUCCCAAGCACAUGAGGGACUGUUAGCAUUUUCAAGACAAAAGUAUCCUGAACUCCUCUUCAUGAGCCUGCUAAGAUUAAACACGGAGCUCAGAACACAGUAUGAACACAAUAAAUGUAUGAUGAAAUGAAUAGGGCUAGCAUUAACUAAUGAGAGCUCCUCAAUGAUGAGCAAGAAGAAGGUGAAAUCAUGCCAUCCAAGGCUUCCCAGUGCCCCUGGAGACCACACAGCCCCUUUAUACAGGAAAUGACGUGAUUCCUGAUAAGCAAGCAGUACACACUGCACAGCUUCCUUCCCUUCCUCCCCCUGCCACUCAGCACCUUUGGCAAAUAGCGGCCUGCCUUCAGCCUUCAUUAGGAAAGCCUUCAUUAGGUCUGCCUUCUUCUCUUCAUUCAUGAGAGAGUGGCAUUAACAGUGCACAAACUAAUGCUUCUUCAAAUUUUUCUGGGGUCUGCUGCUGCUACUGCUAAAAUCCACUUGCCUUCGGACACAGUUUCUCAAAUGGCUUAAAAGCUUCUCUGCUUUUGAUCCCUGCAGCAUCACUUUCUACUCCCUCAAUCAGAAACCAGAAGCUACCCACCCCCAUUUCCUGUGUUCAUGAUAGUAGAAAGCAACAGAGAACAGUUGGCCCCUGAGCUGCCAGGUUGUGGGCUGGGUAGGGAGGAUCCAUUGCAGGAGCAUUGGAAAGCCUUGAGCACUCUGCCCUGCCUGUCCACACAGCAGCACCUUCACAGCCUUCUAGUAGUUCUGAUCAGAUUUCUGCCUCUUAAAGCGGCCCCACAGACUAAAAGCCAUCAUCUGGAAUUUGGAGUAAAAGGGCCCACAGGAAAUGAAGCACUCUAAGAAAAUUCAGCUGGGCAGGUAUUUUAAGGUCACUGACUGACUCCAAAGUGAAGGUAGAACCCAUAUUGACCGCAAUUCAUCACACUUCUGUAACUUCAGAACUCGCUGCUGACUGGAGGAGAAGGUUGCAAUUGCAUUCAGUCCGAAUCUCUGAACAUAUUAUUUAGAAAUAUUAGCUUAUCCAGCUGCCUACGGAGCUUCCCAUCUGGGCUUUCAGUUGCUACAUUCUCUAAAGCCGUAUCUGACCCACACCUUACUAACACUAUGUGCUUCUACAGCAUUCACCCAGUGUUACAGCUCUUUUAGAAUCUGUCUAGCAGGUUUUCCAGUCUUCACUGGAAAGCCCUUGCCCCCAAAUAUAAAAAAAUAAUAAGGCAUUCACCCCUGAACUUUAGCAGGGCUUCCAAUCGCCUUUAAGCACUCAUUUAAAAGAAAAGUCUUUUAUUCCCUUAAAAUAGUAUUAAAUCAUUAGCAAAUGAUUCUCAAAACUAUUUUUUGAGUGCUCUCUUCUGUGUGAGAAUGUAGGAAAUGAUGACCAAGUAUACGAAGUUGGACAUGCCUAGUCCCAGGUGGCCUUUUCCUAUUGGCACAGCUGCUGGCAUUCACCCGUGCAAGCUUCUAGCUUGCUUGUCUAUGUCUGCAGCUCCAUUUUACAGGCUGCUCAUUGUUAGAAAAGAAAACGAUUUGAGGGCUGCUUUUCAUUAAAAGGAAAACCUUACUGAGGACUUCCUUACCCUCACUAUCUGCCUAAAUAAUUUCUUCUUAACUCCUAUAUCACUUACAAGAGGAGAAAGCAGACACACAGGGGGAACUCAGUGUGACAGCACAGGCGGAGCCUGGAGGGAUGCCCAGGAAUGCCAAAGAGACACACAGACUGGUUUCUCUCUCACAGCCCCCAGAAAAACCUAACCCUGCCAGUGAGAGGUGACAGCGUGCUGGCAGUCCUCACAGCCCUGCUCGCUCUCGGCGCCUCCUCUGCCUGGGCUCCCACUUUGGCACUUGAGGAGCCCUUUAGCCCACCGCUGCACUGUGGGAGCCCCUUUCUGGGCUGGCCAAGGCCGGAGCCAGCUCCCUCAGCUUGCAGGGAGGUGUGGAGGGAGAGGCGCGGGCGGGAACAGGGGCUGCUCGCGGUGCUUCCGGGCCAGCGGGAGUUCCGGGUGGGCGUGGGCUCGGCGGACCCAGCACUCGGAGCGGCAGGCCGGCCCCACCAGCCCGAGCAGUGAAGGGCUUAGCACCGGGGCCAGCAGCUGCUGUGCUCAAUUUCUCGCCAGGCUUUAGCUGCCUUCCCGCGGGGCAGGGCUCGGGACCUGCAGCCCGCCAUGCCUGAGCCUCCCCCACCUCCGUGGGCUCCUGUGCAGCCGGAGUCUCCCCGACAAGCGCCACCCCCUGCUCCGCGGAGCCCAGUCCCAUCGACCACCCAAGGGCUGAAGAGUGCGGGCACACGGCACCGCACUGGCAGGCAGCUCCACCUGCAGCCCCGGUGGGGGAUCCACUGGGUGAAGCCAGCUGGGCUCCUGAGUCUGGUGGGGACGUGGAGAACCUUUAUGUGUAGCUCAGGGAUUGUAAAUACACCAAUGGGCACUCUGUAUCUAGCUCAAGGUUUGUAAACACACCAAUCAGCACCCUGUGUCUAGCUCAGGGUUUGUGAAUGCACCAAUGGACACUCUGUAUCUUGCUACUCUGGUGGGGACUUGGAGAACCUUUGUGUGGACACUCGGUAUCUAGCUAGUUUGGUGGGGACGUGGAGAACCUUUGUGUCUAGCUCAGGGAUUGUAAACGCACCAAUCAGCACCCUGUCAAAACAGACCAUUGGCUCUACCAAUCAGCAGGAUGUGGGUGGGGCCAGAUAAGAGAAUAAAAGGAGGCUGCCCCAGCCAGCAGUGGCAACCCGCUCGGGUCUCCUUCCACACUGUGGAGGCUUUGUCCUUUCGCUCUUUGCAAUAACUCUUGCUACUGCUCACUCUUUGGGUUCACACUGCCUUUAUGAGCUGUAACACUCACCGCGAAGGUCUCCAGCUUCACUCCUGAAGCCAGCGAGACCAUGAACCCACCGGAAGGAAGGAAUAACUCCAGACGCGCCGCCUUAAGAGCUGUAACACUCACUGCGAAGGUCCGCAGCUUCACUCCUGAAGCCAGCGAGACCACGAACCCACUGGAAGGAAGGAAUAACUCCAGACGCGCCGCCUUAAGAGCUGUAACACUCACUGCGAAGGUCCGCAGCUUCACUCCUGAGCUAGCGAGAUCACGAACCCACCAGAAGGAAGAAGCUCCAAACACAUCCGAACAUCAGAAGGAACAAACUCCGGACACGCCGCCUUUAAGAACUGUAACACUCACCGCGAGGGUCCGCGGCUUCAUUCUUGAAGUCAGUGAGACCAAGAACCCACCAAUUCCGGACACACCAGCACCCGGAUCUCAGACCUCUGGCCUCCGGAACUGUAAGAGAGUAACCUUCUGCUGUUUUAAGAUACCCAGCUUGUGGUCAUUUAUUACAGCAGCCCUAGCAAACGAACCCAGUGUGUGGUUUGCAACUUCAGUUAUAGCAUCUACCAUCAGCCCAAUUCAAAAGACCAUUUAUUUAAUCAGCAACAUUUCCCCCGUCACUCCUUAUGGGGCAGUAUCCAGUGUAGGCUACUGAUUCUACUUAGUGCUUUAAGUCAGCAUUGCCAGAAUCAUACUGAAACACAUACUUGGGGCUUCUAGGGCAUCUCCUAGUCAGCCUUGUCAAAAUCAACAGUUUUGAAAAUACGCUCUAUGGCAGUCCUGAAUUCCACAGAGGUGGAAUUCAGAGCCGCUCUCCUCUUGUUUGUCGUAUUUUAUAAAAUGGAUAUUUAAUUCUGUUUCACUAUUUGCUUUCAUUACUAAAAUUUCCCAAAAUACAUGAAAAUAGAGGGUACUCGAAAAACCCAACUUUAAAUAAAAUAACCGUGAGUAUUCUGCCAUACUUGUUUCUGUGUUAAUAUAAGAAUUUAUUUGAAGAGUUCUGCUAUAAUUUUUUUAAAUACUGGUUUCAAUAACUCUCUUCCAAUACAGAUUACACUUUGUUAGCUCCAAUAAUUGCUGCAUGGUGAAUUUAGUCUAUUGAAAAGGAAGUGUCAGGUCUGAGUGCCAAUUAUUGUACUUGACCCAAGGUAACUCUCUUUAAAGGUACUGCGUUGGGUUCCCACUGAAUUAUUUUACCACAUUCGAAAUCCUUCAUCAGAAAUUCAAUGUCUUUUAUUAUGAUACAUGAAAUGAUCUAAUAAAUCUCACUGCACACUGUUACUUUGAUUUCUCCAAUGAACCACACCUCUCAGAAUGCACGCCCUUGUAUAGUCCCCUCUCAUGGUGACAGCAGGCUUAGCCUUGUGACUAGCUUUGACAAUGGGGAUAUUAGCAAGCAUGAUGCAAGUGGAUUCUGAUAAGCUUGAUACUGUAUUUAUUUGCUUUGGCUGCCAUAAUAAAUGAUCACAAACUGGGUAUCUUAAAACAGCUCCUUUGUCAGAUGUUUCUCCACAUUCUUCCAAGGCAAAAAGAAAAGAAAAAGAAAUACACACAGACACAUACAUAUAUGUUUCAGUUCAAUAAGUUUUUGUUGUGUUUUGUUUUGUUUUGUUUCAGACAGAGUCUUGCUCUGUCGCCCAGGCUGGAGUGAUGAGGUGCGAUCAUCACUCCACCUGGGCUCACUGCACCUCCGCCUCCCGGGUUCAAGCGAUUCUCCUGCCUCAGCCUCCUGAGCAGCUGGGAUUACAGAGUCCCUGUCAUCCAGACUGGAGUGCAGUGGUACAAUCCCGGCUCACUGCAACCUCCGCCUCCUGGGUUCAAGCGAUUCUCCUGUCUCAGCCUCUCAAGUACCUGGAAUUACAGGCGUGUGCCACCGCACCCCAUGUAAUGUCCCGAUCUUGAUGGAUGCACUCUGGUUAUAGAAAUGUCCUCAUUUUAAGGAAAUACAUGCCAAAGUAGUAAAGGCUCAUGGGGCAUCAUAUCUGCAACUGCUCUCACCUGGUUCAGAAAAAUUUAAGAGCAAUAAUAUGUAUAAAUGUGUAGAUAGAGUAAGAAGACAAACAUGGUAAAAUGUUAACAACUGGGGAAUCCAGAUGAAAGGUGUACGGAAGCUCUUGUGCUACUACACCUGCAACUUUUCCAUAAGUUUGAAAUUGUUUCAAAAUGAAAAAAAUGUACAAGUAUCCUAGAAAAUGCAAACUCAUCCGAAGUGAUGGAAAGCAGGUCACUGGUUGUCUGAAUGGGAUGGGCCAGAGGAGAGAGGAGUCAGGAUUACGAAGGGGGCACAACAAGGAAACUUGGCGGGGAGGAUAUGAAUACCCUUUUUUUUUUUCUUUUUUAGAGACAGGGUCAUGCUCUGUUACCCAGCUCAUAGCUCACUGCAUCCUCAAACUCCAGGGCCCACGGGAUCUUCCUGCCAAGCAACUGGGACUACAGGCUCAGCCCACCAUGCCUGGCUGUUUUUAUUUCUUUUGGUGGAGAUGAGGUCUCACUAUGUUGCCUGGGGCUGGUCUUGAACUCCUGGUCUCAAGGAAAUCCUCCCACUUAUGACUCCCAAAGCACUGGGAUUACAGGCGUGAGCCACCUUGCCCAGCCAUGUUCAUUAUCUUGAUUGUGUCAAUUGCCUCUUUGGUGUAAAAUAGGUCGAAAUUUACUAUGUUGUACACUUUAAAAAUCUAUUAAUAGGUUAAAUAACAUGAAAUAAUUGUUUUUUAAUCCCUAACAUUUGCCUAGGGAAUACAACCAACCUCUUCAUCACAUGAAGACAUUUUUUUCAUGCUUUUCCAUGUUCCUGAAAUGCCCUCCCCUAGGAGCUUCCUCCAAUUUAUCUACUCUUUCACAUUCAAGAAGGUAAUGGAGUUCCAUCUUCCUCCAUUAACUCCCCCAUACUGAAAUCUGCUAUAUCUUUCAUUCAUUUGAAUCUUAUUGUUACAGUACAUACAAUGGAAAUCUAUAAUAUUUUUAUUGCUAUAGUUAUCAUUUCAGUUGUUAUGUUUUCUGCUUAUUUUUGUAUCAGAGUUGAAUCAAGAUGUUUAAGUCUCUGGAGAGUUAAGUAUUUUGUAGGAGGAAGAAUAUCAAGGUUGUGAAAAAAAAAAAAAAAAAAAACCUUGUUGUGGCUGAGAAACUGGGCUGGAGUCAGGAGGCUGGUGAUGGCCCCAGUUCUACCACUAACUAGCCAUGUGCCUACGAUGCUUCAUUUCACCUUUUGAGAUCUAAAUUUCCCCGUACGUCAAAGCAAAGAGACAGAUCUCGCUUUGUCGCCUGUCAAUGGCUAGAGUGCAGUAGCGUGAUCAUAACUUACUGCAGCCUCGAACUCCUGAGCUCAAGCAACCCUCCCUCCUCAGCCUUCCCAGAUCUCCUGAUUUCAAGUACAGUUCUUGCCAACACACAGUGGUAAAGGGUACGAUUACCUAAGGCUUAGCACAGAAGGUAGCACCCCUCACUGGUGAGCUAUCAUGAAACUAUGCGACAAUUUUCUCCAUCUUUUUUAGAGUUGUUUUCCUUGUCUUCCUCCUCAUCACGAUUAUUAUUGCUUUUUCAUUCAGCAAAAAAUCUGGUAGGAGACUGCACAGAAGCAUGCUCACUUGCUAUCAACAGUGUAACCCUACCUAACUUCCCUAAUCCCUAGCAAAUGAAGGAAAAAUCAUAUACAGGCACUGACAAAUAGCAACACAAGAAAGGGCAACAAAAUUACUAAAGAGUAACGCCAUCCUCCCCAACUCAAACCAGGGAAAGUAAGCUUGCCUAGGAACUUAGGCUGAAACUCACCACAGUGCCAAAAACCUGUUUUCUUAAAAAGAGGUAGUGCAGAUAGUGAAUCCACUGAGCCACAUAGGGUGGGAGUUUCUUUAAGUGCUUUUCUUCUUGCCCACAAACUAGCGUAGGCUGUGACUGGCUCCAGCUGAUCCUUAUCAAGGCAGCUAGUUCUGAGGGCUUGGUUAAGAAGCUCUUCGUUUACUUAAGAGAGCAAAGAGAAGACACGUGAAUUGGAAAAGGAUAUCUAAAAUGUCCCCUAAGGCUUCAUAAAGUUGACAUCUUUCGUCAUGACUUCUACAGUUCAGGAAACCAGGUAGCAGUAAGCAAUUAUGAACUCUACUCACUCGCCCUAUCACUUUCACAUCAAACUGGGGGUAUUGUCCUUUGAACAGAAGACUCAUGAGGAAAGUGCAGAUUCCUUCCAGGUGGGAAGAAAGCUUUGUCCCUGCUCCAUGUCUGCUGACCUGCAGGAAGCAGAGAGAGCAGGGCUGUUCGACUCCGUUUCCCUAAUGAUGUCCCAGCCUCUUUCAGUUCUGUGAGCAAAACCAAGGCUGGGUUUGUUAGCACAGCCUGUGACAGAGCCUGGGCAGGUCCUUGUAUUCUGGCAAAGGCUGAACCAAAGAGCAGUCUCAUUGCACUAUUUACUUUUUUUGUUAUACUCUCUCUGGCUCAGCACAAUCAGUGCAGUCCGAUGCUGCAGAAGACAGACUGUUCCCUCCCUCUUCCCACAGUGUUUCUCGUCUACCUUUUGCCCUUAUUCAGUGGGAAGAAAUUUCUUCUUGACCUCAGCAAUCCUUUCUGACAAUUACCAUAUGCCUCAAGAGACCUGGGAAGCUUCGCCCUGUCUGGCACAGGGAGACAAUUCCUAUCCAGAAUAAAACUGAAAGCUUUCAAAAAAAAGAAGAAGAAGAAAAAGAAAGAGAAAAAGAAAGAAAGGAAAGAAAGAAAGACUGUAAUAAGUUACCUUGUCUCUGGGAGAUUCUGUAACAGUGAAUUGCACAGGCUCAUUAUCCCCUCUAUUAAAAAGUUUUUAAAAGGUUCCUCUUCAUCAUUUAGAGUAUGUUGCCUUGGCGCCGGCCUGGAGAGGGUUAGCACAGGAGCCAGGCUGAGUUUAAUUAAAGAAUUUCCGUGUGUCAGCAGCAGGAGACUUUGAUUAAAGUGAGAAGCAGCCAAGAUUCCGGGAAGCGCGUCUUUCUCCUGUCUCCUCCCCCAGAUGUGCGGGUGUCCUUCCCCCAACACCAUGGAAGAAGGGGUCCAGGAAGAAAAUGUCACAGUUGCCUGUGACCCCCACCUGGUCUGCAGAAAGGCAGAGAAGACCUGCUUAUGGAGGAAAAAGACGGCCUCUGUCUGGAGCUUCUAUGAAUUACAUAACGAAUAAGUGAUUUCACCACAAAGCAGUGAAAUUUUUAAAAGUUAACCAGUGGCAGAAGUGUCAGGACAGUCUGCACGGGCAAGAAUGAUACCUAAAUCACUACUCAGGCACAGGAGAGAGCAGGACUGGCAUGGCUGGCAGGUAUGGACCUCCAUGAACCCCAUUAAACAGGAAGGGGCAAUAAGCAACCUUCUGGUUUAAGAGUCACAAAGUUAAUCUUCCAGGUGAGGGUCACCUUGCUAAAGAUAAUACAUAAACAAAGUCACAUGUCUUGAAUCACAGUUACCACUCUGGAGGAAACAUAGCAAUUUAACAUAACGUUGCCUAUUCUGCUUCCCUUUCUAGGCACCUGAUUAGUGGAGGUGGCAGAGCAGGAAUCUGAUUCAGAGUUUAGUUUGCUCUAAUAAUUUAAAUAAUAUUUUAGAAAUUUCGCAGUCAUAAUGUAGCCUUGGGCAAAGGGGUGAGAAGCCUCUAGUCUUAUGAUGGUCCUUGACCUAUGCUGGUUGGCAUCAGCUUCUCUCUAGAGUGAUGAGCCUUGCUCACUUGGUCACCAGUCCCCUGUAAGGAUCUGAUGCUGAGAUCUGUGGCUGGUGAGCUUGUGAUCUGUUCUUUUACAGAUGAGGAAACUGCAGCCUAGAGAGUUUGAGUGACUUGCUUAACAUUUCUCUGAGGAAAUUUAACAGUACUCAAGGUCUCUCCUAAGGAAAAUAGUAGUUGAGUGUGGGAGAAGGUGGAAAUAACGUGUUUCCAUGAGAUAAGCAAGAAGAGCAAAGACUAGUUGGAGAAGACGGAUAAUUGAUUGAAUAUCAUAGAGAGUCCUGGAAAGAAUGGUAAAUGUCAACCAAUUCAAAUAGUUUUAACAGAUGAAGAAACAAGACCAGAGAGGUUACAUGCCUUAUCCAGGGUCACACAGAUAGUCAAUGUCAGAGAGAGAACUUAGACUCCUGGUUUCUCACUCGUAGCGCUUAACUUUUUUCAUUUCUCACUGUAAAAACAUCUCAAAUAGUCUGCCCUUUAUUUAAAAAGAGAUGAAGUGAGCAUCUGUAGAAGCCCAGAAGGUUUUAGAACAUAAAGCAGAUAGAAGAUCAAUUUCCUCUCUGACAAUGAUUCCUUGCAAAGAGUUGGGAUUAUUUUGGUUCAAUUAAAAUUACUAUGCUCCUUUUAUGAGAAAUAUAUUAAGAAAGGAGAUAAAUUGGUACCACAUGAGUAAAAAAAAAAUUGGUGCUUUUCCUCCAUCUGUUCAUUCUUUUGUGGGAAGACACAAACACCCUGUCUCCUACUGACUGAUAAUCGUGAAAAGUGCUAAAUAAGAAGUAUAAAAGGGAUUGAGAAUUUAAGGAAAAGAGAAUUUAAGAAUAUUUUGCAGGCAUUAGAUCCUUGUUAAAAAUCUAUAUUCUUGACUUUAAAAGGACUUUACUAGUUGGAAAUGAUGAAAAUCAUUGAAAAGGAUUCUAAUUAAAGAUAUGUCUGUCUUACAGAAGAUUUUAAAAUAGAUUAGCUUAAUUAUGGCCAAAUGUAUUUAUUUCUACCCUUUAAUAUUGAUACUGUGGUUUUUGUUUAAUGUCUGUACACAGCUUUUACGUUGUAUAGUCUAUUUAUAUCCUAUAGAUCUACCUCUAUGGUUUUCUUUCUUUUUUUGGUGGGGGGAGAGUAUCCUGCUUUGUCACCCAAGCUGGAAUGCAGUGGCUCAAUCAUUACCCACUGUAACCUCAAACUCCUGGGCUCAAGUGAUCCUCCCACCUCAGCCUCCUGAGUAGCUGUGACUACAGGUGUGCAUCACUACACUCAGCUAGGUUUUUAAAUGUUUCAUAGAGACAGAGUCCAGCUAUGUUGCCCAGCCUGGUCUCAAACUGCUGGCCUCAAGCAAUCCUCUCGCCUUGGCCUCCCAAAGUGCUGGGAUUACAGCACUGUGUGAGUCACAGUGCCCAGCCUACCUCUGUGGUUUUCUUGAGGAUGAUUUUAUCUUCCCAUUGAAAUCUUUCUCAUGUCUCGCUUCACCUAAUUUAGUGACUUUAUGUAAUCAUUAGGUUAAUCAUCAUCUCAUCUAAGGUGACCAGCAAGCCCUGAAGAAGUGGAAAAUGAAAGAACAUGGUCUUGACAUUUAAAAACCUAACACAUUUAAUGUAUUCAUUAAAAUAUGUGUUGGUGCAUUCCCUCAGCCAGACAUAUUUAUUAAGAAAAUAUUAGGGACUAACUGUUAUGCUAGAAAUUGAAAAUAUCCUAAUAAUAGACCUUAAAAGUCUACUAAGAAAGGCUUACCAAGAAAACAAAAUAAGAGACUGAUGUCUAACAUAAGAAAUAUGGUCAAGGAAUGUAAAACAUGGUUGGGAGUCAAGGAAUGCUUCUUAAAAUAAAGGGAAAAAGCCUUCAAUUUUGAGUUAUAUUCUUCAUCUUCAAUGUGACUUCCAAGAUUCAUUGGUUUAUUUUCACUAAGAAAAGAGUUACUUAGUAACUAUAGACACUAUUUGGGCCAUUAAAAAAAGUAAACACUAGAUUGCAUGUUUUGGUUUUGGAUGGUGAAGCAUGUCUCAGAAUGUAAACCUAUUUUCUUCACUUUUCAUUGCUCUGUGGGAUGACAAACUUUAAUGAACAGAUGAGACUCAUUGGAAACUAGUUAUUGUCUAUGGCCAUACCACUCUGAAUGUGCUGGAUCUUGUCUGAAAACUAAUAAUUAAUGAGUAGAGAAACAGGGGUGCUGUUAAGGUGUUUAAAAAUCCUUAAAAGCCCUCACAUAAGUCAAACAUGCCCCUAGUCAUUUUGUUUAUGCUAUGAAUUCACCUGGCAAAUUGUUUCAUACGUAAUUCAGAGGUAAGUUUCAGAUCAGCUUAUGUAGAAACAAUUGCAAAUGAAUGGAACUGAAUUUCUGAGGUUUUAUUUUGUUUUACUUUUUGAGACAGACUCUCGCUCUGUUGUCCAGGCUCGGCUUACUACAAGCCCUGCCUCCUGGGUUCAAGCAAUUCUCCUGCCUCAACCUCCCGAGUAGCUGGGAUUACAGGUGCGUGCCACCACACCCGGCUAAUUUUUGUGCUUUUAGUAGAGACGGAGUUUCACCACGUUGGCCAGGCUGGUCUCAAACUCCUGGCCUCAAGUGAUCCGCCUGCCUCGGCCUCUCAAAGUUAUGGGAUUACAGGCAUGACCCACUGCACCUGGCCUGAAAUUUUAUUUUAAAUAGAAAGAUAUUAAUAGCAUUUGGUAUCCCAUCUUUGUUCAUAUUCGGUCUCGCAUGCUGUACAUCAACCAAAAUGUGUUGUGUAAUUAGUUCAUUUUUAUUUCUGGUCAUAUAUACUCACUCUAACUUUUGAUGAUACAAAUAACAAAGCUUUUUCUUCUUCAAAUUAGAGAGAAAAAGGAAAAAAUUAUCAAAGAUAAAAGGGCCCCAGGAAAAACACCAAAAUAUUAAUAAUGGUUACCUCGAACUGUGAGACUAUGGGCGAUUUUACUGUUUUGUAUAUUUUUUGUAUUUCCCAAGUGCUCUAUAGUUAGCACACCUUGCUUCUUUAAGAAAACUUGAAAUAAAAUUAUAAAAUACUUGAAUGCAUCAUUCUAGUAGAUUUAACCUAAAAUGUAAUUUUAGGAGCAUAGUACUUAAGGAGUAGCGAGGGCAUGGUGGCUUAUGCCUGUAAUCCCAGCCAGCACUUGGGGAGGAUGAGGUGGGAGGAUUGCUUGAGGCCAGGAGCUUGAGACCAGCCUGGGCAACAUAGCAAAACCCCAUCUCUACAAAAUUGUACAAAAUUAGCCAGGCAUAGUGUUGUACACUUGUACUCCCAACUACUUGGGAGACUGAGGUGAGAAGAUAGCUGGAGCCCAGGAGUUUGAGGCUGCAGUGAGCUAUGAUCAUGCCACUGAACUCUUGCCUGGGUGACAAAAUGAGACCCUGUCAAAAAGAAAAAAAAAAAAGAGAGAGAAGCUGAGUCAUAAUGGCAGAGCACUGUGUCGAGAGCCACAAAUGUCCACUCUUAAAGAGCAAGAUAAUGGACUGAUAGAGCUGCUUCUUAUCAGAAUAGCUGGGCUCAGGGAGACCUGUGUGUCCCGUUCCUCAGCUUGUGGCUGAUGACAUUAUUUUAUUCUGUUCCUGCUUUCAUAUGUUCUUACAACAUUAACCAUAAACUGAGGCAACUUCAAGAUGUAUCUGUUCCUUGCAACCUAAAAGAAGCUGCCUGGCAUAAACAAAUGUGUAGGUUAUAUAAUAAAAUCAAAACUAACAACAACAAAACACUGUGAUAAAUAGUCUAGAAGGUACAUUUUGUCUGUGUUUUAAAUUAUUUUCUAAGGAUUGGGUACUGGACUUAAAAUGGACAGACCAAAGAGAUAAGAACUUUUCUAAUCCUGCCAAAGAGUUUUUCAUAAAUUGCUUUGAUUACUAUUUAGUGGAUUGUUAUUUUGGUAUGAUUUUUUAUCUUGUAAUUUCUUAUUUUGUGAAUUUUCUAUUUCGGUUCUCUAUGUAGCAGGCACUGUACUUUGGCCAAACCAAUCUCCAUUUGCAACAUGUUUCUCCCUUACUUGACUCCACUAUACAGAGAGUAAAAGCUAAAUUUUGAUGUUCCACCCCCACCCCCUUAUUGAUAUGAGAAGUAAGUCUUCUGGUGCAUUCCUCUCCAAUUUCCGUCUUCUUUCCACUUGAGCUGCCAGGAGAUGCAACAGUGGUUUUGAAACCAAAAAGAUAAAAACUACAUACUAAGAAUGCAUGAACCUAAAGAUUUACAGAGCCUGGGACACUGGGGAUACUUGGAGUCCAUGUAUCAGCCUUGGACUGAUUCCCAUGGGACUUCUUAUUACCCAAGUGAAACAGUCCUUCCUUUCAUCUGUUAAGCCACUAUGGUAUGUUUUGCUGGUUCUCGUAGCCAAAUACAGUUUUGACUGCUAUACCCAUUUUUUUCUUAUGGAUGUUCACGACUUCUUUUAUAUUGUGGAUUGUAUUGUGAAUAUGUAUCUUAUUUGUUGCAAAUAUUUUCUCAGUCUUUUUGUCCUUUAAUUUAUUAUUCAAUGUUUGUAAGGUUUUUAUGUUUAUGCUGUUAUAUAUAUCCAUUUUUUCUGAUUUAUUCAAUUGAAAAAUUGAGAAACGUAAUUGAUAAUUUUGAACAUUAUUGAAGAAGACAUCAAUAAAACAAAACAUAGUCUAGCAAUUACAAAACAGAAAAACAGCAAUGAAGAUUUGUUUGGUUUGGUUUGGUUUUUUGAGACAGGGUCUUGCUCUGUUGCCCAGGCUGGAGAUCAGUGGCGUGAACACAGCUCACUGCAACCUUGACCUCCUGGGAUCAAGCUAUCCUCCCGCUUCGGCCUCCCGUGUAGCCAGGACUACAGGCGUGAGCCAUGACACCUGGCUAAUUUUUAAACUUUUUGUAGAAAUGGAGAUCUCAUGUUGCCAAAGCUGAUCUCAAAUUCCUGGGCUCAAGUAGUCCUCCUGCCUCAGCCUCCCAAACUGCUAGGGCUUCAGGUAUGAGCCACCAUACCCAGACACAGUGAAAUAUAAAAAUAUAUAUUACAUAUAACGUAUUAUAGUAAAAUAUGUAACAAUAAUAAUAAUGAAAAUGGGUUGAACUUCUUAAACUUCGCUAUUAAAAGACAGUGGUUCUCAAGCUGGUUAAAUACACACCCUUGCACUCACAAGCAUAUACACACACAGUCUAUGUAGGUUAUAAAACAUACUCAAACCAAAAUAAGCAUAAACAUUGAAAGCAAAAUGAUAAGCAAAGAUAUACCAAGAAAUUAAAAUAAAAAGAAAGCAGGAAUUAACAUCUGACAAAGUAUAACUUAAGGUAGAAAAUGAAAAGUAGGGUAAAAAUCUCCACUUUAUUCAUAAAGCUGUGCUGUAGUAUGAGUUGUGUAAUUUUAUUCAUAAACACUAGAUAAAUAUAUAGAGAGCAAAACACAACAGAAAGACAAGAAGAAAAUUACAGAAACUAAUUGUAGUGGGAAGUUUUAACACAUUUUACUCUUUGGCAGGCAAAAUAAGUAAUACCUAAAUGUAGAGACAGCUGAGUAAUAUAAUUCCGGGGUCCCCAGUACCCAGGCCAUGGACCAGUACCUGUUGAUGGCCUGUUAGGAACUGGGCCACACAGCAGAAGGUGGCAGGGGGUGGUGAGUGAGCAUUACCGCCUGAUCUCUGCCUCCUGUCAGAUCAGCAGCAGCAUUUGAUUCUCAUAGGAGCAAACCAUGUGAACUGUGCAUGCAAGGGAUCUAGGCUGUGAGCUCCUUAUGAGAAUCUAGUGCCUGAUGAUCUGAGGUGGAACAGUUUCAUCCUGAAACCCUCCACCCAACCCCCAUCCGUGGAAAAAUUGUCUUUUACGAAACCUGUCCCUGGUGCCGAAAAGGUUGGGGACGGUUGAUGUAAGUAACAUAUUUUAUUUAAUAAAUACUUAUAAAAUUAUGUAUGCGUCAAAACCACAUGCCAUCUUUUAUAAUGUGCCUGAAAUAUUUACUAUAAUUUAAUGGUUUGUCUAAAAGUAAGUUUAAGAAAUCAUAAAUUCCACAGGACUUAUUAUUCUCUUAGCAUAAAGCAAAGGAAAUUAAUUUUAAAAUUUAAGUUUAAUAAUAUCUUGAAAUAUCUUUUGAGUGAAAGGGGAAAUCCACUGUAUGCUUAUACCACAUUUUGUUUAUUCAUUCACUAGUGGAUGGAAAUUUAGGUUGUUUCCACUUUGGGGCUAUUAUGAAUAAUGCUGCAAUGAACAUUCGUGUACAAGUUUUUGUGUGAACACGUGUUUUCAGUUCAGUUGGAUAUACAUCCAACAUUGAAAUUGCUAGGUCAUAUGUAACUCUAUUUGUAAUAUUUUGAGAAAUAGUCAAAGAGUUUUCCAAAGUUGCUGCAUUUUCCAUUUCAACCAGCAAUGUAUAAGGGUUCCAAUUUCUCUGCAUUCUCCCCCACAAUUUUUAUUGGCCAUCUUUUUUAUUAUAUAGCCAUCAUAGUGGGUGUGAAGCAGUAUCACAUGUUUUUUAUUUUUUAUUUUAAUUUCCUUAAUGACUAAUGAUGUUGAGCUUUUUUAUGUACUUAUUGAUCAUUUAGUUAUCUUCUCUGAAGAAAUGUCUAUUUAAAUAGUUGGCCCAUUUUUACUUGGGUGGUCUUAUACUGUUUAGUCUUGAGGUUAUUUUAUAUCCUGGAUAAAAGUCCCUUAUUGGUUAUAUGAUUUGCAAAUACUUUCUCUCUUACUGUAGGUUGUCUUUUCACUUUCUUGAUAGUGUCUUCUAAAGCAGAAAAAGUUUUCUUUUUAAGGAAGUCUAAUUUAUUAUUAUUACUUUUUGGGGCCACUUUUUUCUAUGGUGUUAUAGCUUGGAAGGCUUUGUCUAACCGCUGUUCAUGCAUAUUUACUACAGCACUUUGUCCUAAGAGGUUUAUAGUUUUGAUUUUUUUUUUUUUUUGACGGAGUCUUGCUCUGUCAUCCAGGCUGCUGGAGUGCAGUGGCGCAAUCUCAGCUCACUGCAACCUCCACCUCCCGGGUUCAAGCGAUUUUUCUGCUCAGCCUCCCGAGUAGCUGGGACUACAGGCACGUGCCACCAUGCCCAGCUAAUUUUUGUAUUUUUACUAGAGACGGGGUUUCACGAUAUUGGCCAGGCUGGUCUCGAACUCCUGACCUCGUGAUCCGCCCACCUUGGCCUCCCAAAGUGCUGGGAUUACAGGUGUGAGCCACCACACCUGGCCUAGUUUUGAUUUUCAUAUUUAUGUUUACAUUCCAUUGUGAGUUGACUUUUAAAAUCUAAACCUAGGAGGUACAAGUGCAGUUGUGUUAUAUGGACAUACUGCAUGGUGGUGAAGUCUGGGCUUUUACUGUAACC
Long non-coding RNA from Pan troglodytes (chimpanzee), 18763 nucleotides. RefSeq lists it as uncharacterized. The record is from RefSeq and is a predicted model, not a curated record. The transcript is spliced from 4 exons. NCBI's taxonomy places the organism in Eukaryota, Metazoa, Chordata, Mammalia, Primates, Hominidae.